Molecule: non-coding RNA, 661 nt
Organism: Sus scrofa (pig)
Lineage: Eukaryota; Metazoa; Chordata; Mammalia; Artiodactyla; Suidae
Source: RefSeq, a predicted model, not a curated record
CCGCCCCCUAACCCCGGCCGGGUCGUUUCGGUCCCCAUUCCCCAUUCUUUCUCAGAAGACUCUUCAGUGGGUUCAGCACACGUCUCUCCUGUCCGCAACAGAGAAACAAGAUACCUGAGUGCCUCCCACGACCAUGUGACUUCUUACAGGGCAAGGACAGCCAUACCCAGCAAAGCUUCUAGUCCUCCUGCCACCACCUCAUCACUUUCUUGCCUAUCACAAGCCAUGUUCCCCUGUGCACUGAGGGUUCCAGCCUCAGCCAUGGACCCUUUCAUCUUUUUAAGGUGCCCAGCACCCACUCCACACACAUCUUCCCUUAGCGUUUCUUAACAACAGGACCAUUGACCAUUUUGCGCAUUACAAGACGUGUGCAGCACCCCUGCCUCUGCCCAUUGGCUGUGAUGAUGAACAUGUCUCUGGACGUUGCCGAAAUUCCCGAGGGGGUCAAAUGCACACCCUCCUCCCAGAACCACUGCUCUAGGCCAAGGAGGACUCAGAAGAAGGAAAACAAAGUGAAGCAAGGAACCUCCAUAUGCUGCUGGCACGGCCCUAAAAAGACCAAAAAAAAGUCUCCUGCUGGCCUUGAAGAAGCAAACAUCAUGUUAUAAACUGCCUGUGAAAAGGGGCAGCUUCUUGGAGCUACAAGCCUCAGUCUGGCAAC